GACGAACGCUGGCGGCGUGCUUAACACAUGCAAGUCGAACGGAAAGGCCCUGCUUGCAGGGUACUCGAGUGGCGAACGGGUGAGUAACACGUGGGUGAUCUGCCCUGCACUUCGGGAUAAGCCUGGGAAACUGGGUCUAAUACCGGAUAGGAGCCAUUUUUAGUGUGAUGGUUGGAAAGUUUUUUCGGUGUAGGAUGAGCUCGCGGCCUAUCAGCUUGUUGGUGGGGUAAUGGCCUACCAAGGCGGCGACGGGUAGCCGGCCUGAGAGGGUGGACGGCCACAUUGGGACUGAGAUACGGCCCAGACUCCUACAGGAGGCAGCAGUGGGGAAUAUUGCACAAUGGGCGCAAGCCUGAUGCAGCGACGCCGCGUGGGGGAUGACGGCCUUCGGGUUGUAAACUCCUUUCGCUAGGGACGAAGCUUUUGUGACGGUACCUAGAUAAGAAGCACCGGCUAACUACGUG
RNAcentral lists this ribosomal RNA (464 nucleotides) under uncultured bacterium. RNAcentral describes it as "partial 16S ribosomal RNA". It matches the Rfam family "Bacterial small subunit ribosomal RNA", at positions 28 to 507 of the family's 1533-position model. The record is from RNAcentral.